GAUGAACGCUAGCGGCAGGCCUAACACAUGCAAGUCGAGGGGUAGAAGUUUUCGGACUUUGAGACCGGCGCACGGGUGCGUAACGCGUAUGCAAUCUGCCUUACACUAAGGGAUAGCCCAGAGAAAUUUGGAUUAAUACCUUAUAGUAUAUUGAUGUGGCAUCACAUUGUUAUUAAAGAUUUAUUGGCGUAAGAUGAGCAUGCGUCCCAUUAGCUAGUUGGUAUGGUAACGGCAUACCAAGGCUAUGAUGGGUAGGGGUCCUGAGAGGGCGAUCCCCCACACUGGUACUGGGACACGGACCAGACUCCUACGGGAGGCAGCGGUGAGGAAUAUUGGUCAAUGGGCGCAAGCCUGAACCAGCCAUGCCGCGUGCAGGAUGAAGCAUCUAUGGUGUGUAAACUGCUUUUGUACGGGAAGAAACACCUCUACGUGUAGAGGCUUGACGGUACCGUAAGAAUAAGGAUCGGCUAACUCCGUGCCAGCCGCCGCGGUAA
This 494-nucleotide ribosomal RNA is filed under the name uncultured bacterium. RNAcentral's name for it is "partial 16S ribosomal RNA". It matches the Rfam family "Bacterial small subunit ribosomal RNA", at positions 28 to 523 of the family's 1533-position model. The record is from RNAcentral.